UACGUAGGUGGCGAGCGUUGUCCGGAAUUACUGGGUGUAAAGGGCGUGUAGGCGGGGAUGCAAGUCAGAUGUGAAAUUCCAGAGCUUAACUCUGGCGCUGCAUCUGAAACUGUAUCUCUUGAGUACUGGAGAGGAAAGUGGAAUUCCUAGUGUAGCGGUGAAAUGCGUAGAGAUUAGGAGGAACACAAGUGGCGAAGGCGGCUUUCUGGACAGUAACUGACGCUGAGGCGCGAAAGCGUGGGGAGCAAACAGG
This 253-nucleotide ribosomal RNA is filed under the name uncultured bacterium. RNAcentral's name for it is "partial 16S ribosomal RNA". It matches the Rfam family "Bacterial small subunit ribosomal RNA", at positions 524 to 776 of the family's 1533-position model. The record is from RNAcentral.